This 390-nucleotide ribosomal RNA is filed under the name uncultured bacterium. RNAcentral describes it as "bacterial SSU rRNA". It matches the Rfam family "Bacterial small subunit ribosomal RNA", at positions 28 to 419 of the family's 1533-position model. The record is from RNAcentral.
GACGAACGCUGGCGGCGUGCUUAACACAUGCAAGUCGAGCGGUAAGGCCCUUUCGGGGGUACACGAGCGGCGAACGGGUGAGUAACACGUGGGUGACCUGCCCUCAGCUCUGGGAUAAGCCUGGGAAACCGGGUCUAAUACUGGAUAUGACUCCAUGACGCAUGUUGUGGGGUGGAAAGCCUUGUGCGGCUGAGGAUGGGCCCGCGGCCUAUCAGCUUGUUGGUGGGGUGAGGCCUACCAAGGCGACGACGGGUAGCCGGCCUGAGAGGGCGACCGGCCACACUGGGACUGAGACACGGCCCAGACUCCUACGGGAGGCAGCAGUGGGGAAUCUUGCGCAAUGGGCGAAAAGCCUGACGCAGCGACGCCGCGUGAGGGAUGACGGCCUGU